Molecule: long non-coding RNA, 1427 nt
Filed under: Elaeis guineensis (African oil palm)
Lineage: Eukaryota; Viridiplantae; Streptophyta; Magnoliopsida; Arecales; Arecaceae
Description: long non-coding RNA (EGUI_LNC026930)
Source: RNAcentral
CUCUUCUGUUAGGUCCACAAGCAAAUAGUUUUUUUAAAAACAAAUCUAGAAGGGGAGUGUAAAAUUGAGGCUUUGUCCAUCACUGCAGGACGACGGUAAAGUUGUUUUUAUUCUUUUACCAGAGAAAAGGGAAAGAAAAGAAAAAGAAACGUGAUGAGUGUUAGAUCGAGUAAUUCAUUCUUCACUGCAUCCGGUAGAAAAAAUUAUCAAAAUAUUUUUUUAAUAUUAUAACAUUCUAUUACUUUUUAAUAAAACGUAACAAGAUGUUAUAGAAUACAAAUAAAAGAUUAUAAUAAUCAUGAUAUCCCGUUAAUUUUUAUGACAUCUCGAUAGUUAUUUAAAAGAUAUAACAGGAUAUUAUAAUAAUAUUAUAAUAUCUUAUUAAUUUUUAUAAUAUUUUAAUAAUUAUAUAUAAAAUAUAAUAAGAUCAUAAAAUAUAACAUCAUAUCAUGCCAUAAUUAUGAUAUGCCGUUAUUACCUACGGCAUCUUGAUCGAGCAAAAUAGAAUAAAAAAAAUAUAUUUUAAUUAAAAAAAUUAAAAAUUAAAUUAUAUUAAAUAUCUAUCUUUUUAUUAAUUAUGCUGCAUAGUCCAAUUCAAAGCAGUAUAUUUUUUCUCCCCGGCAGAUGCUGUACAAAGAAUCUCUGUUUAGAUUGAACCUGGUACGGAAUUUGAACACUAACAAAGAAAAUAACUUCUUCUUCUUUUUUCCGUGGCAACAUCCUAAUGUUUUUGUUAAGGAGCAGGCGACCUGUUGGAUAUGCAACUGGGAACAAAGAAGUCAUUUCGUUCGGUAGAUCUGGAGUUAGAGUCCAGCAGUAUGGUCUGGGCAAAAGAACCACACUGCUGAGCUGAUAGGUGGCCAAUAGAGUGUAGUUUCUCUACCACAAUAGUCCAUGUGGAAAGUAUGAGAAAAGAGGAAUAGUUUCUUUUUAACUUAAUACUUUGCCAUUACAUGUCUCCAAACAGCUCAGGGGUAUUCCCCUCCACAAUGUAAUACAUCUUUUCUCUUCUGUAAGCAAGCUUGAGACCAAACAACAAAGAUGUUGCGAAACAUAAUAAAUGGGUGAGGUAAAUCAAACAAAAAGGGAUGACUAAAAUCAAGAACCAUUUGGGACCAGAGGAGAGAUGGCAGCAGCAGACACAAUGUGAUUAUUGUAACCACGUAGACACAGAUAUGUAUCUAUAUACUGGUCUGAUCUAGGCAGUGGGUUUCUCCAACUUGAGGGGCUUCACCACCUCCCAGGUGAAGUCGGGGUCAUCCCUACCAAAAUGCCCAUAAGCAGCUGUCUUCAAGAACCUCCCGCUGCCACCCCUCUUCAAGUCAAGGUCGAUGAUGAUCAUCCCAGGCCUAAAAUCGAAGUUCUCCUUCACAAUCUUCAAGAUCUCCUUAUCCGGAAUCUUGCCUGUGCCACAGGUAUCCACAAAC